AGUAUAAACCCCUUUACAAGUAUCAAUUGGAGGGCAAGUCUGGUGCCAGCAGCCGCGGUAAUUCCAGCUCCAAUAGCGUAUAUUAAAGUUGUUGCAGUUAAAAAGCUCGUAGUUGGAUUUCUGUUGUAUUUUUAUAAUAUUAUUAAGGUAAUAUUUAUAAUAUCAACAUCCUUCCUAUUAUAUUUUUAAUAUAUAGGAAAUUUUACUUUGAGAAAAUUAGAGUGCUUAAAGCAGGCAACUGCCUUGAAUACUCCAGCAUGGAAUAAUAAGUAAGGACUUUUGUCUUUCUUGUUGGUUCUAGGAUAAAAGUAAUGGUUAAUAGGGACAGUUGGGGGCAUUCGUAUUUAACAGUCAGAGGUGAAAUUCUUAGAUUUGUUAAAGACGA
RNAcentral lists this ribosomal RNA (385 nucleotides) under Cryptosporidium serpentis. Its description in RNAcentral is "bacterial SSU rRNA". It matches the Rfam family "Eukaryotic small subunit ribosomal RNA", at positions 522 to 938 of the family's 1831-position model. Lineage: Eukaryota; Apicomplexa; Conoidasida; Eucoccidiorida; Cryptosporidiidae. The record is from RNAcentral.